Molecule: unclassified non-coding RNA, 380 nt
Filed under: uncultured Gemmatimonadaceae bacterium
Lineage: Bacteria; Pseudomonadati; Gemmatimonadota; Gemmatimonadia; Gemmatimonadales; Gemmatimonadaceae
Description: contains 16S-23S intergenic spacer region
Source: RNAcentral
UCCGGUUUGGCACCGGCAGUCUCCCUAGAGUGCCCGGCAUGACCCGCUGGUAACUAGGGACGGGGGUUGCGCUCGUUGCGGGACUUAACCCAACAUCUCACGACACGAGCUGACGACAGCCAUGCAGCACCUGUGCACGGACUCCGAAGAGGGCCUCCCCUUUCUGAGAGGUUUCCCGUGCAUGUCAAGCCCAGGUAAGGUUCUUCGCGUUGCGUCGAAUUAAACCACAUGCUCCACCGCUUGUGCGGGCCCCCGUCAAUUCCUUUGAGUUUCAACCUUGCGGUCGUACUCCCCAGGCGGGGUACUUCCUGCGUUAGCGCCGGCACCCAGAGGGUCGCUCCCCCAGGCACCUAGUACCCAUCGUUUACGGCGUGGACUAC